Long non-coding RNA from Takifugu rubripes (torafugu), 5811 nucleotides. The record is from Ensembl. Lineage: Eukaryota; Metazoa; Chordata; Actinopteri; Tetraodontiformes; Tetraodontidae.
AUGUCAAACCUCGAUGACCGUUGCCAGCUGUUGGAUUCCUUCCUCGCCACAGGUACCGUCUUGGUGGAAAACAUGCAGAUAAACGGCCGUGCGCAGGAUCCAGGUCGAACCAUUUCGCUGACUCUGCUGGACAACUACGACUAUUGGGUGAUUUUGGAACCGGCCCAGCAGCGGCUGUAUCUCAACAGCACAGGACGCGUUCUGGACAGAGACCCCCCAAACUACAUCAUGACCAUAGUGGUGCAAGUCCAGUGCACCAACGAGCUGGUUGGUACUGUUAUUUUCCACGAGGUGCGGAUCGUCGUGAGGGACAGGAACGACAACAUCCCCCGCUUUCAGCAGCCGCGUUACUAUGUUGCCGUCAAUGAGCUCACGCCAGUCGGAACAACGAUUUUCACUGGAUUCUCAGGGAAUAAUGGCGCCACCGAUAUCGACGAUGGACCUAAUGGACACAUAGAAUACAGCGUCCUUUACAACCCCAAUGACCCGGAGUCCAACAAGACAGUAAGCGUUGGAAACACGCUUUCAGGGCACAUUAUCCUGGCAGAGAGGCUAAACUACGAGGAGAGGACACGUUACCUGGUUGUUGUCCAAGCUAAUGACCGAGCACCUUACCCACCCAACAGGCGAACGGCUACAACCACCCUGACCGUGGACGUUCUGGAUGGAGACGACCUGGGCCCCAUGUUCCUGCCGUGUGUGUUAGUGAACAACACGCGUGACUGCAACCCGCUCUCCUACCGCGCUGCUAUCCCUGAAUUCACUGAACCGAGCAAAUUGAACCCACUGAACGUGACCCCCCCGAUUCGUGCCGUGGACAUGGACAGGAACAUCCAGCCUCCAUCCAACAGACCCGGAAUUCUGUACUACAUCCUGGUUGGUAGGUUUCUGACAUUUAAAUCCACAUUUGCAGAGUAUUUCUCCCUGAACAAAACCACAGCGGAGCUGCGCGUUCUGCAACCAAUCAACAGAGACUUAUAUCAGAGGUUCACCCUCAUCAUCAAGGCUGAGCAGGACAACGGACACCCCCUCCCGGCCUACGCCGACCUCAUCAUCGAGAUCCUGGAUGAGAACAACCAGGCGCCGUACUUCCAGCUCGCCACCUAUCAGGGAUACGUGAGUGAGUCUUCGCCGGUGGGUACAACCAUCUCAGGCAGCUCAAACCUGACGACGCCCCUGGAAAUCAUCGCACUGGACAAUGACAUCGAGGAGACAAAAGACCCGUUGGUGAAGAUUUCCCUCGACAACUACGCCACGAUAUUUGGUGUGACUCCGACUGGCAUAGUGCGCUACCUGAGACUGGUUACACCUGUGGACCGGGAGAAGCAGAUGGCUUACACGUUCACGAUGGUGGCAUCGGAUGGUGUCCAGCAGAGCACCCCAGUGACUGUCAACAUCCUGGUCAUCGACGCCAAUGACAACACGCCCACAUUCGCCAAGGCCUCCUACAAUGUUGAAGUCUUCACCGACAUGCAGCCGGGGGAAACCGUUCUCCAGUUAACUGCAGCGGAUGCUGAUGAAGGAUUGAACGGCCUGGUGACGUAUGAGAUAUUGGCCGGGGCCCAGGGACACUUCAUCAUUAAUAAUCGCACAGGUCGCCUCACCGUGGCGCCAGGCGUGGCUUUAACUGUGGGACAGUCUUAUGCACUGACUGUCAAGGCCUCAGACGGGGCUCCAGAAACACAGCGAAGGAGCUCCAUCACCACCGUCUACAUUGAGGUUUUGCCACCCAAUAACCAGAGCCCGCCGCGCUUCCCCCUCCUCACCUACAGCCUGGAGGUCAGCGAGGCCAUGAGGAUCGGAGCGAUCCUGCUCAAUCUGCAGGCCACAGACAGAGAAAAUGACCCCAUCACUUACCUCCCGUGUUUCCUCCCCACCUCAGGCCCUCUGGACAGAGAGAGCACAGAUCAGUACCGCCUGAUCGUCACAGCCUCCGAUGGGAACCCUGGAGGGACUUCCACCACCACGGUCGACAUUGUCGUCACAGAUGUCAACGACAACGAUCCCAAAUUUGACUUCGCCAUACCUGUUAACUUCACCGUCCGAGAAGAAGAGGCCGACCUUUUUGUGGGCCUUGUGAGGGCUACAGAUCCAGAUGCGGGGGCUAACGGCCAGGUGGGCUACCGGAUCAUAAAUCACCCCGACUUGUUUGUGAUCAGUGCCAAUGGCAGCAUCUACACGAAGGUGCCUCUGGACCGGGAGCUCCGGAGCCAGUAUGAUCUUGUUGUGGAGGCGUCGGACGGGGCUGUGGAUCCACGGCGGACCACCUUGACCCUCUCCAUCCAGGUCACAGAUAUUGAUGACAGCAGUCCGGUUUUCUCCCAGCAAAAUUACGUGGUGAAUGUUCCAGAAAACACGCCUGUGGGGACCGUCGUAUUGAAGCUAAGCGCAACAGACUCGGACCUCUUCUCCAAUGUCACCUACCGGAUCAGGACUGAGGCAGCCCGACAGCUGUUUUCUCUGAACCCUAUUACAGGGGAGCUGGCUGUGCUGCAGACGCUGGAUUUUGAGGACCUGGCAGCUUUGGGCAUUGGGACCUCUUAUGCUUUCCAGGUAGAGGCUAUAGACCAAGGAGGGAUCAUGCCCCCGGGGCAGGCAACUGUCACAGUCCGCAUCACGGACAUGAAUGACUUCUCACCCGUGUUUAGCCAAGACCUGUACAAAGGCAUGGUGGCACCCAAUGCAGAGAAAGGAACGGUGAUAACAACGGUGUUAGCGGAGGAUCGGGACCCUCCGGAUACCCCAGCCAGCUUUGUCCGCUACCGAGUUGACCUGGACAGGUCUCCCUACAGCGGCAGCAUCUUUGACGUGGAGGAGGAAACGGGAAGAAUCGUCACUAAGGUCAACCUCAACGAAGAACCCAGCGUCACCUUUAAGUUGUUUAUCAUCGCCUUUGACGACGGCGAACCGGUGAAGACCAACAGCACUCUGGUGGAGAUCACUGUCCUCCAGCCCUCUCGGAUCCCCAUCUUCACCCAGGAGGAGUACAGGUUUCCUCCAGUAAGCGAGCUGGCUCCAUUCGGCACCCCGGUGGGGACGGUUCUGGCUGCUGCUGUCAAUCAAAGCAUCUUCUACUCCAUCGUAGGAGGCAAUGAUUUAGGUCAUUUUCAGAUCAACAACAAGACAGGCGUCAUCUCCACAGCCAAACCUCUGGACUACGAAAAUGUGACAAGCUACGUCCUGCGGGUGCAGGCGGACUCCAUGGAGGUCGUCAUGUCCAACCUGCGCGUUCCCUCUAAAACUAACACAGCCAAGGUGUUCAUCGAAGUGCAGGAUGAGAAUGACCACCCACCCGUCUUCUCCAGGAAGCUCUACAUCGGCGGCGUGACAGAGGACACCAAGAUCUUCAGCUCCGUGCUCAAGAUAGUGGCCACUGACAAGGACACCGGGAAUUACAGCGAGAUGGCGUACCGCCUGAUUAUUCCGCCCACCCAAGAGGGCCAGGACAGCUUCGUCAUCGAGACCUACACAGGCAUCAUCAAGUCGGCCAUCAUGUUUCGGAACAUGCGCAGGUCCUACUUCAAGUUUCAAGUCAUUGCCACCGACGACUACGGAGCAGGGCUCAGCAGCAGUGCUGAAGUGGUGGUUUCUGUGGUCAACGCCUUGGACAUGCAAGUUGUUGUGUCCACCGUGCCGCCCACUUUAGUGGAGGAGAAGAAGGACGAGCUCAUUAGUAUUUUGGAGCGCCACGUCCAGGACCAGAUUCCGGGUGCCAAGGUGAUAGUAGAGUCCAUCGGCCCCCGUCGUCAUGGCGAUGGCUUUGAGCUAGAGGACUACACUAAAUCCGACCUGAUGGUCUACGCCAUUGACCCCCUCACAAACAGGGCCAUCUCUCCCAAGGAGCUCUUCAAAUUCCUCGAUGGCAACGUCCUGGAAAUCAAUAAGGAGUUCCAGCCGUAUCUGGGGGAAGGCGGCCGCAUCCUGGAGAUCCGCUCCCCCGACAUCGUGGCCAGCGUGAAGAAGGCCGCCCAGGCCGUGGGCUACACGGAGGGGGCGCUCCUGGCCCUGGCCAUCAUCAUCAUCCUCUGCUGCAUCCCCGCCAUCCUCAUCGUCAUGGUCACCUACAAACAGCGACAGGCAGAGUGUGCCAAAACUGCCCGGAUUCAGAUGGCUUUACCACCAGGAGGGAAAGCACCUGCAGCCGCUGCCCCCACCGCAAACCUGUAUGAGGAGCUGGGCGACGGUAGCAUCCGUGGUAAACUGCACCCACCUCAACAGCAACUGCUGAGGCCAUCUCUGCUGAGACCUGAGGAAUUCUCCAUGGAGUCAGGUAUCGACCCAGGCCAGGAUUACUAUGCGCAAGACUACUAUAAUUACGAUCAAGGAUAUGACCUCCCUCAAUAUGGCAGUCGAAGGAGGCUAAUUACACCUAUGUAUGAUGAAUAUGGAGAGGUAAUCAUGGAGGAUGAUGGGUAUUAUUACAGCCCUCAUGGCCCUGAGCUUGGAAAGAAACGAAUUAUGCUGGUUUUAGAUCGAGAAAAGGAGAAUAGCACAGCAGGAGAGGAGAGCAAUACAGAAAUCCAGCGGGACAGACUCCCCAACAGCCACAGCAAUAUUAACGGGAACAUCUACCUCGCACAGAAUGGCACUAUAAUCCGGACUCGGCGGCUGCCCCAACCAAACAAUCUGAAGGUGGGCUCUCCGUGCCGGCUUGGUAAGCAGUUUAAAAAACUAGAGAAGCUGGGUGUGACGCUUGAAGAACCUGCUCCCAUCAGUAGCAUUGAGAGCCCAGGGAAGGACACAGAAAACGGAGUAGGCGUGUGUGUUCCUGCUAAUAUGGACAUCACGAACAAGCAGUCCUCCUGCGGCUCCAUGGGAAGGACCAUCACAAACCUGACAAGUUUCGGCUCCAAAAAUAACAUUACCAAGGUCUCGAUUGACAGCAACAGCAGCCGGAGCGUGAAUGAGGAGCAAGAGACUCAUGUUGACAACCACAAAGACGGGCACACCGAGAGCCACACUGAGCCCCCAGCGACGGACGGGGAGGAGCUGUGGAUGGGACCCUGGAACAGCCUGCAUAUACCAAUGACAAAACUGUGACCGGGCCAUGGGUGACAUGGACUCUCCUCGCAUUCUAUCGUAACUGUGUUUGGAUUCAUUUCAAAUCAGAUUGUGUGCCUCAAGAAGAAUAAGACCUUCACAGAGAACUUUGUCCAGCUGAAAUCUAUUUAACCAUUAUUUUUCGUCUUAUCUUUAGUGUUGCAGCGUGAGAGCGGCGAGUGCCUCAAGGACAAAGAUUUUUAUUUGAUGCACAUUUGACUGAAUUUUUCUUAUCAUUUAAAACAAGAGGGUUCUUUCGAAGGUUUUCAUAGUUUGCUUUCUCUUCACUGCCUUGUCAUCCUUUACAUCCUGACAGGAUCACAAAGAGAUUUACAACUGUCUCCUUAUCACCCUAAAGAGAAUCUGCAUUUAACAAAGAAUUUGUCACGAUUGUCUCUGAAGAAGGAAAAGAUGCUUAUUUUGCUAUUGACUUGCAGAGAGAUAAAGAUUGUCACAGAUAAUUUCUUGUUUUGAAAAUUUCUGAAGAAUAUCUAAUAUUUUUUUGUCUAUUUUGUAUCUAACGCAGAUGGAAGAAUUAGAUAGGUCAAUGGUGUCAUCGCUGUAUUUCAACAGUGAGAUAUGACUGUAUGAUCAUAGUGUUUUUAUAUGCACAUUUGUAACCUGAGAAUGUGGUAUUUUAUGCCCCUUUACAUCGUGCAGACCCACUACGUCAAUGAUAAUUUAAUGAACGAUACAUCAGGAACCCACAAAGGACUACCAAAAGAAAUGUGCUAGAUUCAACAAUAAAGAUCUAACUUAUUUUAACGUGCA